Molecule: ribosomal RNA, 491 nt
Filed under: uncultured bacterium
Lineage: Bacteria
Description: partial 16S ribosomal RNA
Rfam family: Bacterial small subunit ribosomal RNA
Source: RNAcentral
ACUCAAAUGAAUAGACGGGGACCCGCACAACCAGUGGAGCGUGUGGUUCAAUUUGAGACAAAGCAAAAAACCUCACCAGGGUUUGACAUGGUACUGCAAGUCGCAAGAAAAGGCGACCCUCCGCCUUUGGCGGACGGUAUCACAGGUGCUGCAUGGCUGUCGUCAGCUCGUGCCGUGAGGUGUUCCCUUAAGUGGGGAAACGAGUGCAACCCUUGUCCUGUGUUAAAUUGUUCACAGGAGACUGCCCCGCUUUGCGGGGAGGAAGGAGAGGCAGAUGUCAAGUCAGCAUGGCCCUUAUACCCUGGGCUACACACACCCUACAAUGGCGAAAAACAACGAGCAGCAAGCACGCGAGUGCAAGCUAAUCUCUCAAAUUUCGCCUCAGUUCAGAUUGCAGUCUGCAAUUCGACUGCAUGAAGUCGGAAUUGGUAGUAAUCGCGGAUCAGCGGGCCGCGGUGAAUACGUUCUCGGGUCUUGCACACACCGCCCGU